GAUUAAGUUAUUAAGGGCGCACGGUGGAUGCCUUGGCACUAGAAGCCGAUGAAGGACGUUACUAACGACGAUAUGCUUUGGGGAGCUGUAAGUAAGCUUUGAUCCAGAGAUUUCCGAAUGGGGAAACCCAGCAUGAGUUAUGUCAUGUUAUCGAUAUGUGAAUACAUAGCAUAUCAGAAGGCACACCCGGAGAACUGAAACAUCUUAGUACCCGGAGGAAGAGAAAGAAAAUUCGAUUCCCUUAGUAGCGGCGAGCGAAACGGGAAGAGCCCAAACCAACAAGCUUGCUUGUUGGGGUUGUAGGACACUCUAUACGGAGUUACAAAGGACGACAUUAGACGAAUCAUCUG
RNAcentral lists this ribosomal RNA (350 nucleotides) under Staphylococcus aureus. RNAcentral describes it as "partial 23S ribosomal RNA". It matches the Rfam family "Bacterial large subunit ribosomal RNA", at positions 1 to 344 of the family's 2925-position model. The record is from RNAcentral. Lineage: Bacteria; Bacillati; Bacillota; Bacilli; Caryophanales; Staphylococcaceae.